Molecule: ribosomal RNA, 442 nt
Filed under: Pseudomonas fluorescens
Lineage: Bacteria; Pseudomonadati; Pseudomonadota; Gammaproteobacteria; Pseudomonadales; Pseudomonadaceae
Description: partial 16S ribosomal RNA
Source: RNAcentral
AUGGAGAGUUUGAUUUUGGUUUAGGAUGAAUGUUGGUGGUAUGUUUAAUAUAUGUAAGUUGGAUGGGAAGUGGUGUUUUUAGUGGUGGAUGGGUGAGUAAUGUGUAAGAAUUUGUUUUUGGGAGGGGAAUAAUAGUUGGAAAUGGUUGUUAAUAUUUUGUAGGUUGAGGAGUAAAAGGAGGAAUUUGUUUGAGGAGGGGUUUGUGUUUGAUUAGUUAGUUGGUGAGGUAAUAGUUUAUUAAGGUGAUGAUUAGUAGUUGGUUUGAGAGGAUGAUUAGUUAUAUUGGGAUUGAGAUAUGGUUUAGAUUUUUAUGGGAGGUAGUAGUGGGGAAUUUUUUGUAAUGGGUGAAAGUUUGAUGGAGUAAUGUUGUGUGGAGGUAGAAGGUUUAUGGGUUUUGAAUUUUUUUUUUUAGAGAAGAAGUAAUGAUGGUAUUUGGGGAAUA